UGGCGGCAUGCCUUACACAUGCAAGUCGAACGGCAGCACGGGGGCAACCCUGGUGGCGAGUGGCGAACGGGUGAGUAAUACAUCGGAACGUGUCCUGUAGUGGGGGAUAGCCCGGCGAAAGCCGGAUUAAUACCGCAUACGCUCUGCGGAGGAAAGCGGGGGCUCCUUCGGGACCUCGCGCUACAGGGGCGGCCGAUGGCAGAUUAGCUAGUUGGUGGGGUAAAGGCCUACCAAGGCGACGAUCUGUAGCUGGUCUGAGAGGACGACCAGCCACACUGGGACUGAGACACGGCCCAGACUCCUACGGGAGGCAGCAGUGGGGAAUUUUGGACAAUGGGCGCAAGCCUGAUCCAGCAAUGCCGCGUGUGUGAAGAAGGCCUUCGGGUUGUAAAGCACUUUUGUCCGGAAAGAAAACCUCAGCCCUAAUACGGCGGGGGGAUGACGGUACCGGAAGAAUAAGCACCGGCUAACUACGUGCCAGCAGCCGCGGUAAUACGUAGGGUGCAAGCGUUAAUCGGAAUUACUGGGCGUAAAGCGUGCGCAGGCGGUCCGCUAAGACAGAUGUGAAAUCCCCGGGCUUAACCUGGGAACUGCAUUUGUGACUGGCGGGCUAGAGUAUGGCAGAGGGGGGUAGAAUUCCACGUGUAGCAGUGAAAUGCGUAGAGAUGUGGAGGAAUACCGAUGGCGAAGGCAGCCCCCUGGGCCAAUACUGACGCUCAUGCACGAAAGCGUGGGGAGCAAACAGGAUUAGAUACCCUGGUAGUCCACGCCCUAAACGAUGUCAACUAGUUGUCGGGCCUUCAUUGGCUUGGUAACGUAGCUAACGCGUGAAGUUGACCGCCUGGGGAGUACGGUCGCAAGAUUAAAACUCAAAGGAAUUGACGGGGACCCGCACAAGCGGUGGAUGAUGUGGAUUAAUUCGAUGCAACGCGA
This 933-nucleotide ribosomal RNA is filed under the name uncultured bacterium. RNAcentral's name for it is "bacterial SSU rRNA". It matches the Rfam family "Bacterial small subunit ribosomal RNA", at positions 37 to 964 of the family's 1533-position model. The record is from RNAcentral.